AAAGUCUGAAGAUGGGUUCAUCUGAUUAACCCACGUCCCGCGAUCUUGAUUCUCUACUCUACCCUACCCGGCUACUUUCGCUUCCACGAACCCAUCGUCGCCUCAUCGCUGCUUGCCACCGCCCAUCGUCGAGCACAAGCUCCGCACCGUCGGUUCUCUGUGGCUGAGCGGGAUCGCGGGCUCGAUCACCUUCAACUGGUCGCAGCCCAACAUGAAGACCAGCGUCAAGAUCAUUCACGCCAAUGGGCCGGGUGGAACUCCGGGAUGUUAAUCGUAAAGAAGAGUUUGUGAGGAGGAUUGAAGAAGCUACAAGAAGUAAUCUGAUAUUGAUUUUCAGCUAACUAAUAGUGAAGUAGCACAUAUAAUGAUGUAUUCUUGGUAUACGUUUGUGGCCUCUAUAGGACUGGAAAGCUACAGUUCCAUGCAAGUGAUGAUGAGAUUGUGCAACAACGUGACAAAGUAAUGAGGACAUUAACUUUUAUAGUUCUAAGUUCCCCUUGAGACUCACAUAAUCCAGCAUUUUUUUUUU
Long non-coding RNA from Eucalyptus grandis, 529 nucleotides. RefSeq lists it as uncharacterized. NCBI's taxonomy places the organism in Eukaryota, Viridiplantae, Streptophyta, Magnoliopsida, Myrtales, Myrtaceae. The record is from RefSeq and is a predicted model, not a curated record. The transcript is spliced from 3 exons.